CCAUUAACCAUGUAUUUCCUAUUCAUGGUUGGCUUCUCUGUCACUUUUUCCUUACUAACAAUCCAUUGUCUUACUGAUCCUUAGGAACAAUUGAGUGGUCAUAUCUAUUUCUGUACCAUUUUUGGGUUCAUUCAUUUCAAAUGAUUUAGGUAAGGUAAAGGUAUAAUAAGUAACUGAUCAUUCCUCAAUUUUUUGGUUGUUUUGAGGGAUUUCGUCUCUCCUUUUACCGGAAUUAAUAUUUAGCAGGGAUUAGAACUUUGAUUUUGUCAUUUGUUUGCAGGAGAAGAAAAGACCAAAUGGAAACAACAACAAGGUUUUUGUUAUACUUUGAUGGAACAGUGGAGGAAAAAAACAGGAGCAUUACAAGUUUAAAAUAUGCUUUUAAUUUGCUUCGAUGGUAUGUUGUAUUUAUAUACAUUAUUUCUAUUCGUUUUUACUUUGAACCUUGAUGUAUGCAUUCUUAACUAUAUUAGUUAAAUGAUUUGUAUUUUA
This is a non-coding RNA of Camelina sativa (false flax), 492 nucleotides long. The record is from RefSeq and is a predicted model, not a curated record. Lineage: Eukaryota; Viridiplantae; Streptophyta; Magnoliopsida; Brassicales; Brassicaceae.